AAGUCGAACGAGAUCCCGGAGCUUGCUCCGGGGGACAGUGGCGAACGGGUGAGUAACACGUGAGAAACCUGCCCUAGAGACCGGGACAACCGUUGGAAACGACGGCUAAUACCGGAUGCCUUCACAUGGUCGCAUGGCCGAGUGAAGAAAUGCUCAGGUGCUCUAGGAGGGUCUCGCGGCCUAUCAGCUAGUUGGUGAGGUAACGGCUCACCAAGGCAUCGACGGGUAGCUGGUCUGAGAGGACGAUCAGCCACACUGGGACUGAGACACGGCCCAGACUCCUACGGGAGGCAGCAGUAGGGAAUCUUGCGCAAUGGGGGAAACCCUGACGCAGCAACGCCGCGUGUGGGAUGACGGCUUUCGGGUUGUAAACCACUUUCAGUGAUGACGAAAAUGACGGUAAUCACAGAAGAAGGUCCGGCCAACUACGUGCCAGCAGCCGCGGUAACACGUAGGGACCGAGCGUUGUCCGGAUUUAUUGGGCGUAAAGAGCUCGUAGGCGGUUCUGUAAGUCGGAUGUGAAAACUCAGGGCUCAACCCUGAGACGCCAUCUGAUACUGCAGUGACUAGAGUCCGGUAGAGGAAGAUGGAAUUCCUGGUGUAGCGGUGGAAUGCGCAGAUAUCAGGAGGAACACCAAUGGCGAAGGCAGUCUUCUGGGCCGGUACUGACGCUGAGGAGCGAAAGCAUGGGGAGCAAACAGGAUUAGAUACCCUGGUAGUCCAUGCCGUAAACGUUGGGCACUAGGUGUGGGGUCUUCUAACGGAUUCCGUGCCGUAGCUAACGCAUUAAGUGCCCCGCCUGGGGAGUACGGCCGCAAGGCUAAAA
RNAcentral lists this ribosomal RNA (826 nucleotides) under uncultured microorganism. RNAcentral describes it as "bacterial SSU rRNA". It matches the Rfam family "Bacterial small subunit ribosomal RNA", at positions 59 to 899 of the family's 1533-position model. The record is from RNAcentral.